This 234-nucleotide ribosomal RNA is filed under the name uncultured bacterium. Its description in RNAcentral is "partial 16S ribosomal RNA". It matches the Rfam family "Bacterial small subunit ribosomal RNA", at positions 118 to 347 of the family's 1533-position model. The record is from RNAcentral.
UGAGGAACAUGACCUUCGGCGGGGGAUAGCCGGCCCAACGGCCGGGUAAUACCGCGUACGACCACUUUGGGACAUCCCUAGGUGGUGAAAGCAGCAAUGCGCCGAUGGAGUGCCUCGCGGCCUAUCAGCUAGUUGGUGAGGUAACGGCUCACCAAGGCGACGACGGGUAGCUGGUCUGAGAGGAUGGCCAGCCACAUUGGGACUGAGACACGGCCCAGACUCCUACGGGAGCAG